CGAUGCUGAACACGCGCAACCGAACGGGAGGAAAACUGGUGCUCUGGCGUCGUUGCGUUUUUUGUUAAGCUUUCGCCUCCGCUCUUUCUUUCGUAAAAAAAAGACAAUAUUUGUUACCCCCGUUAUGCGUGUGCUCUCGCUUUCGGUGUAUCGAUCUCUCUCUUUCGGCUCCCGCUCUCUCUCUCUCUGGUAGUGUCGAAGAAGCAGAGGAUGGAGGGAAUAGAGAAAGUAGUUAGGGUGGUGGUGGAGGAAAAGAGGAGGUGGAGGUAAUAAUAAGGGGGGGAGGGAGGGGGUGGGGCGUGGAGAGGGAGAGAUGUAUAUGGGGAGCGGGGGGCAAGGUGUGAUGGGUGGAGUGGGUGAGGGGGGGAAGAAGGAAGAGAGGAGAACAGGGUUAGUUAGUUCUUGCAUGACCUUCUUCUUCUUGGUUCUUUCUUGGCAGAGAGGGGCCGGGAGAAUUGCUCUUGCGUCUCGGAGAAAACUUAGAAACGUCGUUGCCUGUCCGGAAGAAGGCAGUACACGAGGCCGGGCGCGUUCGGCAGCUGGGGCGGCGGCCACCGCCGCCGCGGGUUCCUAAGCCGCCGGUACCGGAGCGAGGAGGACCUCGACCGCCGCCGCCUGCUGCACCACCUCAAGUCCGCCCAGCACCUCCUCCUCUUCCGCACGGAACUACGGCGCCCUAGCACCAUACCCGGGAGCCGCCGGCCGGAACCGGCCGACCGGCGCCUCUCGGCCUGCGGCCGGUACCAGCGGCGCGAGAUGCCCUCGUGCCGGCACGACCGCGUGCGCGACAGGCAGCGCGGCCCGCUCCGGACGGCGCGCAGGCCGUGCCUGCCGCGGUGGCGCGAGGUGGACCGACGCCGGCCACCGCGCCGGUUGCGGCAGCGCCGGUGCGUGGACGACGAGCGGCGCCCCCGGAGGUGCCUCUGCGAGAGCCACAGGCCCGAGGCGCGGCCCCUGAACGAGGGCGCACGGCGUCCGCACCGGCUCUUCGGAGAGGCGGACGACGAGUUCAGGGGGCGGCACAGCGGGAGGAGCAGCGGGUUCUUCAGGCGGAGCGGCGGCCGCUACCAGCGGCGCGUCCUCGGCUCCUUCCUCAUGGGCGGCCUGGAGUGCGACGGCCUGGAGUUCUCGCCCGAGAAGUCGUGGCUGCUCAAGGCGUACAUGUCGAAGUUCCACUUCGGGACGAGGGCGCGGAUGAGGGUGCUGACCUGGCUCACGGGGAAGCACGUGGGGCCGCUCUUGCGGGCGGCGGCGCUGGGCGCGGCGAUGAGGAUGUCGACGCACGGGACGGGCCUCAAGGCGUUCCCGCCCAGCACGGCGUUCCCGCUGCCGACGCUCAUGCGCGUGCCGCAGAAGCUCACGACCGAGGUGGGCCGCGUCAUGGCCUGCGCGGAGACGUUCCUGCUCCAGCCGACGCGCGCGGCGUAGACGAAGAAGCGUGUGUCCGCGCUGCUCGAGGCGAGGCAGUUGGGUAGGCGGCAGAGGCACCCGUACUACGUCGGGCACAGGGGCGCGAGGAGCGGGGGGUUGCCCUACCUGUACCCCUACGAGUUGGGGCGCCCCACCGGCAGCAGAGGCCAGUCGGCCGAGUUCUGCCGCGCCCUCGAGCUGAAGCUGGACCUCUACGAGCGCGACCUGGUCAUGGUCGUCUUCGACAAGCUGUUCCACAGGUUGUUGCGCGUGAGCGGCUCCCGUUCGACCCCGCGCGGGUUGCCGCCGGAGCCGAGCGGCGUGCGGCGGCCCAGCGGGCGGUCUUUGUACGGCCUGAUGUGGCUGGACGAGCCGAGGUACCUGGGCCGGUACGAGAGGGUCGAGGUGCGCGACAGCGACUUCGUCCGCCCGCUGUACAGCGGCAUGUCGAGGUACGGCCUGUGCGUCGACGUGUACGGCUGGAGCGGCUACCACCCGCGCUUGUUGAGCAAGCCGUAGCUGGUGAGGUACCGGUUCCGGUAGUACUGGAGGGCGCGGAGGCGCAAGCGGUUCGCAUCGGUCUCGAAGUAGCUGGCGCCGCGCGCGCGGGGCCGGCGCGCGAGGGACUACAGCGGCCGGUGGUGCUAGCCGCUCGGAAGGUACGAGUGCCUGACCCCGAGAGGGUCGCCGCCGCCGUUAGACCUGACCCCGAGCGGGCCACCGUUCGACCUGACCCCGCACGUCCCGCUGCUCGACGUGUUCAAGGCGUUCAGCCGCAGGAAGCCCAAGGCGCCCGUUAGGCGGUACGGCCGCCGGAGGGGUCGGUGGGGCCGGCUUGGGCUGCAGAGUACCCACUUGAGAGAACAGUUCCUACCGGUGUGUCCGCUGGUAAAAGGCGUCACCGACCUCGUCCUCGUCUACCACCGGAUUAGGGUUGGGGCAGCUGCUAGCUAGUGAACCGAGUAUCGCAGAUCGACUGGUUUCAAGAAAGGAAGUUAAAAAAAGUGGGAAAAAUAAACGAAUUAAACUAAGUAUACUCUACCAAGAAAUCAUGUAUAUACGACAAGUGUUUUUAUUAUAACGAGUAGUCGUUAGUCGGACCUACGGGUUUCCCUCGGAAUCCAACUACUUCUUGUCGGUUAUAAAUGAGAAGGG
RNAcentral lists this ribosomal RNA (2565 nucleotides) under Triticum aestivum (bread wheat). RNAcentral describes it as "partial small subunit ribosomal RNA". Lineage: Eukaryota; Viridiplantae; Streptophyta; Magnoliopsida; Poales; Poaceae. The record is from RNAcentral.